AAUGAAGCUGUUUCUGGGCUUGUAUUUCUUUUCCCUCGUCUACUCAGUACACACACUGCACUGCCUUCGGUGUGUUAGUGAUUCAGGUCAGUGCAGCACCACCAACUCAAGCCAGUGUGAAACAGGCACAAUGUGUAAUGCAUGGAGAAUUGAUUUUGCUGAAUCAGGACUUGGGAAUGGCUCGUCAGUUAUACGUUCUUGUAUGUCUAAUACACUCUGCGCUCAGCUGAAUGCAUCUUCUUCAGGCAUAACGUACUCAAGCAACUUUGGAUCAUCAAGUUUCUUUUAUUUUUUCUCCUGCUGUAAUUCCAGUAAUUGCAAUAACAUCAACAUCCCAGAACCUGACAACACCCCUAAUGGACUAAAAUGUGCAGCCUGCAGCAGUUACCUGGACACAACCUGCAACACUACUGUGUACUGUGUAGGAAUUCAAGAAUACUGUAUGAAUUAUGCAGGUUAGUUUACCUUUUACAUUUGCAGUAUCAUUU
This 488-nucleotide long non-coding RNA is filed under the name Astyanax mexicanus (Mexican tetra). Its description in RNAcentral is "lncRNA (ENSAMXG00005003570.1)". Lineage: Eukaryota; Metazoa; Chordata; Actinopteri; Characiformes; Acestrorhamphidae. The record is from RNAcentral.